UCCAGACUCCUACGGGAGGCAGCAGUGGGGAAUAUUGGGCAAUGGGCGCAAGCCUGACCCAGCAACGCCGCGUGAAGGAAGAAGGCUUUCGGGUUGUAAACUUCUUUUAAGGGGGAAGAGUAGAAGACGGUACCCCUUGAAUAAGCCACGGCUAACUACGUGCCAGCAGCCGCGGUAAUACGUAGGUGGCAAGCGUUGUCCGGAUUUACUGGGUGUAAAGGGCGUGCAGCCGGAGAGACAAGUCAGAUGUGAAAUCCGCGGGCUCAACCCGCGAACUGCAUUUGAAACUGUUUCCCUUGAGUAUCGGAGAGGUCAUCGGAAUUCCUAGUGUAGCGGUGAAAUGCGUAGAUAUUAGGAAGAACACCAGUGGCGAAGGCGGAUGACUGGACGACAACUGACGGUGAGGCGCGAAAGCGUGGGGAGCAAACAGGAUUAGAUACCCCUGUAA
RNAcentral lists this ribosomal RNA (448 nucleotides) under uncultured bacterium. Its description in RNAcentral is "bacterial SSU rRNA". It matches the Rfam family "Bacterial small subunit ribosomal RNA", at positions 330 to 793 of the family's 1533-position model. The record is from RNAcentral.